GCUUGACUGGUUCAGUUUGUAGAAUAUGUGACUCUUGAUCUUGGGGUCAUGAGUUUGAGCCUCAUGUUGGGCA
RNAcentral lists this transfer RNA (73 nucleotides) under Mustela putorius furo (domestic ferret). It matches the Rfam family "tRNA". Rfam says of the family: Transfer RNA (tRNA) molecules are approximately 80 nucleotides in length. Their secondary structure includes four short double-helical elements and three loops (D, anti-codon, and T loops). Lineage: Eukaryota; Metazoa; Chordata; Mammalia; Carnivora; Mustelidae. The record is from Rfam by way of RNAcentral.